RNAcentral lists this ribosomal RNA (935 nucleotides) under Salmonella enterica subsp. enterica serovar Infantis. RNAcentral's name for it is "partial 23S ribosomal RNA". It matches the Rfam family "Bacterial large subunit ribosomal RNA", at positions 353 to 1190 of the family's 2925-position model. RNAcentral also lists the same sequence under 1 other name. The record is from RNAcentral. Lineage: Bacteria; Pseudomonadati; Pseudomonadota; Gammaproteobacteria; Enterobacterales; Enterobacteriaceae.
CGCGAUACAGGGUGACAGCCCCGUACACAAAAGCGCAUGUGCUGUGAGCUCGAUGAGUAGGGCGGGACACGUGGUAUCCUGUCUGAAUAUGGGGGGACCAUCCUCCAAGGCUAAAUACUCCUGACUGACCGAUAGUGAACCAGUACCGUGAGGGAAAGGCGAAAAGAACCCCGGCGAGGGGAGUGAAAAAGAACCUGAAACCGUGUACGUACAAGCAGUGGGAGCCCCACCACCAAAGCAUUCUCUGGUGUUGAAGGCCCUGCAAAGCAGCAUCGCGGUGGCGGAGCGUCGUUUGCGACGCCCAACACACAAAACAAGCGGUGAGUGCUUUGGGGUGGGGUGACUGCGUACCUUUUGUAUAAUGGGUCAGCGACUUAUAUUCUGUAGCAAGGUUAACCGAAUAGGGGAGCCGGAGGGAAACCGAGUCUUAAUUGGGCGUUAAGUUGCAGGGUAUAGACCCGAAACCCGGUGAUCUAGCCAUGGGCAGGUUGAAGGUUGGGUAACACUAACUGGAGGACCGAACCGACUAAUGUUGAAAAAUUAGCGGAUGACCUGUGGCUGGGGGUGAAAGGCCAAUCAAACCGGGAGAUAGCUGGUUCUCCCCGAAAGCUAUUUAGGUAGCGCCUCGUGAAUUCAUCUCCGGGGGUAGAGCACUGUUUCGGCUAGGGGGCCAUCCCGGCUUACCAACCCGAUGCAAACUGCGAAUACCGGAGAAUGUUAUCACGGGAGACACACGGCGGGUGCUAACGUCCGUCGUGAAGAGGGAAACAACCCAGACCGCCAGCUAAGGUCCCAAAGUCAUGGUUAAGUGGGAAACGAUGUGGGAAGGCCCAGACAGCCAGGAUGUUGGCUUAGAAGCAGCCAUCAUUUAAAGAAAGCGUAAUAGCUCACUGGUCGAGUCGGCCUGCGCGGAAGAUGUAACGGGGCUAAACCAU